Molecule: long non-coding RNA, 456 nt
Filed under: Mytilus galloprovincialis (Mediterranean mussel)
Lineage: Eukaryota; Metazoa; Mollusca; Bivalvia; Mytilida; Mytilidae
Source: RNAcentral
UGACACAAUAUAUAUUUAUUGAUAAAAAAAUAAAAUUUAGUAUACAACUCUUUAACAGGUAUAAAAAAAGCACAGCUGUGUCAUAACUUGUGAAAUCUGUGCUGAAAACAUAGACAUUGAUGGUAUUUGAGUAAUUCCAUAUGUGAAGCUCAACAUUAGCUCGUCAGUUGGUGGUGGACAGUUAUAGUUCCUUCCUGCAGGCUAGGAUGAAUGACUUUUCAGGAAAACCAAUUUCACAAAUCAAAACUUUCCUCUAGAUUUCUCCUACAAUAUUCAUCCAGUUUAGUUCUUUUGUUUUAAUUGGACACGGUCCUGAUUUUUAAUUUUGCAAACCAUUCAGUCUCUUGCUUGCAAAUGGUGCAUGAAAAUAGGAUGGGUAUGGCAGUAGACAAGUCUCUUUAAAGUGGGUUUGUGCCCUGAAAAAAAGUUUUAUAACUUAAGUUUUGUUGAAACUUG